AAAGUAAAAGUACAUGUAGCCUACUCAUUAUGCAGAAUGAUGCAUUUCACAUUGUUUAUAUAUCAAGGAAUUAUAAUUACUGGUGUGUUAUUUUCCACAUCACAAUGUUGAAGCUGGUAAAGGUGGAAUUAAAAUGUACUUCACACACUGCUGGGUAGCUUGUGAAUUUCCCACUGAAGAUCAGUGACAUUUAAUAAUUAUAAUGGUAUUUGUUUUAUUAAUCUCAUUGAGAAAAUUAAGUAAUCAAGUAAAUGUAGUGGACUAAAAAGUACAAUAUUUGCAUCUGCAAUGUAGUAAAGUGCAAGUAUGAGGUAGCAGAAAAUGAAUACACUCAAGUACAGAUACCUCAAAACUGUAUUUGGGUGCAGUACUUGAGCAGAUGUACUUAGUUACUUUCACCACUGUCAGUGUAUACAUCAUGUACAGUAGCUGCUGGAACAAGCAGAUGACACAUGUGUGUGAGUGUCAUCCAGGGUAGAAAUACAGUAUAUAUUUGUCUUUACACUGAAGUAACUUUAACAAUGUGAGUUAUCAUGUUGAAGAAAAUGUCAUCUUACAGUGAUCACUUGUUAAAAAUUAUAAUUAGUGAAAUAAUAGCCCAAUGCUAAUUAUUAUACAUGACUUCAUACUGUAAAAGAAGGUUAAUUAGUGUUUGACUUCACAAAGUUCAGGCAGAAAACUUACAAGCAGCACAACCAGCAAUGUGGCGUUCUGUUGUGUCCCAAUUUUGUGUUCACCUCGUAGUGACUUAACACAGAGUCCACAGUAUUUUUUCAGAUGGCUCCAGUUUAUUGGCAUCCAAUGAAUAACUUUCAUUACAGAAAAAUGUCACCCUACUGGUGGAGUCCUGGUAGUUAUGAUUCUGCACACAGAAACACAAACCACACAGCAAGUAGGCCGCCAGGAGACACCCAUCAAUCACAGAGUUCUCUGGAUAGGAUUUGGAGCAGCAGCAUUUCCCACAUGAGCCUGUUACAUCAGCUGGUUUGGAGAGGGCUGGCUACUCUGCGGGGAGAGGUCUGACCACAUGUGUUCUCUGGCUGGAGAGACAGUUGGGAGUAUUUCUGUGAAUC
Long non-coding RNA from Monopterus albus (swamp eel), 1073 nucleotides. RefSeq lists it as uncharacterized. Lineage: Eukaryota; Metazoa; Chordata; Actinopteri; Synbranchiformes; Synbranchidae. The record is from RefSeq and is a predicted model, not a curated record. The transcript is spliced from 3 exons.